This is a non-coding RNA of Pelobates cultripes (western spadefoot toad), 911 nucleotides long. NCBI's taxonomy places the organism in Eukaryota, Metazoa, Chordata, Amphibia, Anura, Pelobatidae. The record is from the annotation of a GenBank genome assembly.
CUACAGAAGGGUUAUUGUGAUAUUUUGGUCAGUUGUUAGGUUCCUAGGUUUGAAGAAUACAAAAGGCUUUUCACUGAACUGCAUUGCAUCAUGUCAUGUAUGGAAGAUGUCUCUGAAGUACUUUUUGAGUACUUCAUCCCUCUGAUAAAACCCAGGCAUCAUGAAAGCGAAUGGAAGGUGGUAACUUACCAGUGUCGCUUAAAACAAUUUUUAAGUCUUUGCACCAACAUUUAUUCUGAAUUAUAGUAGAAUACCAUAGAUCACAUUGAACUUUAUCAAUGCCUAUUUAGGAAAAUUUCCAAUCUAUUACAAGCAAUGGAAUGAUGAGGAGUUUUCUUAAACAAAUGAGGUCUUGUUUCUGUACUGGAAAAUAUUUCAUACCUAACUUCCUCUUCCCUUUUUUGCGUGCGAUCUUCAACUUGAUUUAAAUGGAAAUUAUCACAAUGAAAAAUAUUAAAUAGCAUUACUGUUUUGUGGUGCAAAUGAGGCCAGUAUUUCAUAUCUAGAUUGUAUUAAUAAACUAUGCAAUUAUUUGGAAUCUUCAAGAAAGUGCCCAGAAUUGAUUUUUCUGUUAAUUUAUUAAUGUUUCCUUUUAUUAACACAGUAAUAAAGGAAAAUGUAUAUUUUUAUUUCAAUAAAGUUAAAGUAGCUGAGAGAUAUCAAAGCUAUCUUAUCAUAAAGAGGAUUUCUAACAUUCAACAAAAAUAUGCACUGGUUAUUGUCUUUGUACAUCCUGACUGUAGAUGCUGCCUCUCAAGGAUGCACAGGAAGCCAUAUUUUGCUCCAUAAAUGAAAACAGUGUGUAUAUUUUUGUCAAUUAAAUUGAUAGUAAUUUUAAAUGCCAGAAAACGGUUAUAGGCAUUUUGUUUUUAAAGAACAAUUAAGUAUUUGCAAAUGUUUUUGGUCUCUUG